GUGAGGAAUAUUGGUCAAUGGGCGGGAGCCUGAACCAGCCAAGUCGCGUGAAGGAAGAAGGAUCUAUGGUUCGUAAACUUCUUUUGCAGGGGAAUAAAGUGCGGGACGUGUCCUGUUUUGUAUGUACCCUGAGAAUAAGGAUCGGCUAACUCCGUGCCAGCAGCCGCGGUAAUACGGAGGAUCCGAGCGUUAUCCGGAUUUAUUGGGUUUAAAGGGUGCGUAGGUGGUUUGAUAAGUCAGCGGUGAAAGUUUGCAGCUUAACUGUAAAAAUGCCGUUGAAACUGUCGGACUUGAGUGUAAAUGAGGUAGGCGGAAUGCGUGGUGUAGCGGUGAAAUGCAUAGAUAUCACGCAGAACUCCGAUUGCGAAGGCAGCUUACUAAGCUACAACUGACACUGGAGCACGAAAGCGUGGGGAUCAAACAGGAUUAGAAACCCUGGUAGUCC
Molecule: ribosomal RNA, 445 nt
Filed under: uncultured bacterium
Lineage: Bacteria
Description: partial 16S ribosomal RNA
Rfam family: Bacterial small subunit ribosomal RNA
Source: RNAcentral